UUUUUAUUUUUAAUUUUGUCCUGCAUUUUUUUUUAGCUGUAAUCUCUGUCCUGCCUUUUUAUUUUUCACUCUGUUCGGUCCUGCCUUUUUUUUUUAGUUUAUCCUGACUUUUUUUUACCUAAAUUGUCGUCCUGACUUUUUGUUUUUGCAAGUGUCUCAUCCUGCCUUUUUUUUUACUCAAAACUCCUGUCCUGCCUAUUUUUUUCAAAUUUCAUCCUAGCCCCUCCAUAAAAAUCAAAUGGUAGCUCCCUAAAUGAAC
RNAcentral lists this long non-coding RNA (259 nucleotides) under Mytilus galloprovincialis (Mediterranean mussel). Lineage: Eukaryota; Metazoa; Mollusca; Bivalvia; Mytilida; Mytilidae. The record is from RNAcentral.